RNAcentral lists this ribosomal RNA (460 nucleotides) under uncultured Bacteroides sp. RNAcentral describes it as "bacterial SSU rRNA". It matches the Rfam family "Bacterial small subunit ribosomal RNA", at positions 338 to 795 of the family's 1533-position model. The record is from RNAcentral. Lineage: Bacteria; Pseudomonadati; Bacteroidota; Bacteroidia; Bacteroidales; Bacteroidaceae.
CCUACGGGAGGCAGCAGUGAGGAAUAUUGGUCAAUGGGCGGAAGCCUGAACCAGCCAAGUAGCGUGAAGGAUGACUGCCCUAUGGGUUGUAAACUUCUUUUGUAAGGGAAUAAUUGUGGGUACGCGUACCCAUUUGCAUGUACCUUAUGAAUAAGGAUCGGCUAACUCCGUGCCAGCAGCCGCGGUAAUACGGAGGAUCCGAGCGUUAUCCGGAUUUAUUGGGUUUAAAGGGAGCGUAGGCGGGCGCUUAAGUCAGCUGUGAAAGUUUGGGGCUCAACCUUAAAAUUGCAGUUGAUACUGGGUGCCUUGAGUGCAGUAUAGGCAGGCGGAAUUCGUGGUGUAGCGGUGAAAUGCUUAGAUAUCACGAAGAACUCCUAUUGCGAAGGCAGCUUGCUGGAGUGUAACUGACGCUGAUGCUCGAAAGUGUGGGUAUCAAACAGGAUUAGAUACCCUUGUAGUC